RNAcentral lists this ribosomal RNA (617 nucleotides) under uncultured bacterium. Its description in RNAcentral is "bacterial SSU rRNA". The stretch from base 1 to 521 matches the Rfam family "Bacterial small subunit ribosomal RNA", at positions 338 to 873 of the family's 1533-position model. The record is from RNAcentral.
CCUACGGGAGGCAGCAGUGGGGAAUAUUGGGCAAUGGAGGAAACUCUGACCCAGCGACGCCGCGUGCGGGAUGAAGGCCUUCGGGUUGUAAACCGCUUUCAGUAGGGAAGAAGCGAAAGUGACGGUACCUACAAAAGAAGCACCGGCUAACUAUGUGCCAGCAGCCGCGGUAAUACAUAGGGUGCAAGCGUUGUCCGGAAUUAUUGGGCGUAAAGAGCUCGUAGGUCGUUUGUUACGUCGGAUGUGAAAACCUGAGGCUCAACCUCAGGCCUGCAUUCGAUACGGGCAAACUAGAGUUUGGUAGGGGAGACUGGAAUUCCUGGUGUAGCGGUGGAAUGCGCAGAUAUCAGGAGGAACACCAAUGGCGAAGGCAGGUCUCUGGGCCAAUACUGACACUGAGGAGCGAAAGUCUGGGGAGCGAACAGGAUUAGAUACCCUGGUAGUCCAGACCGUAAACGGUGGGCACUAGUUGUGGGAACCUUCCACGGUUUCUGCGACGCNGCUACGCAUAGUAGCCCGCCGUCGGGAGGUACGAGUCGCGAGAGUUAAACGUACGAAAGGAAGUUAGUAACGGUCGUGAGACGUGCCGAACGGACGACCGACGAGGGGAGGUUAGG